ACCGAAGGCUCAAUGAUUGUCUUUGCACUUAAUUGUCGAGGAAUGGGUCGUUCCUCGACUCGGCGUGAAGCCGUGAACUGCGUUCACUGAUAAAGUUACGUUGACCUGAUGUUCUCUUUCUCUUUGAAACCAAACUUGAAUCUUUUAAUUUUCUAUCCUUCACACGCCAAUGUGGUUUUGCUGAGUUUGUUUCUAUCCCUUCUUCGAAUAGUGCCGGUGGGCUGUUAUUAUGUUGGAGGAGAUCCAUUUCUCUUACUCUUAUAUGGUGUUCUAAUUGGUGCUUACAUUCUGAAAUCACUUCUUCGGAUGGAGCUUACACCUUCCUUUUAUCUACUGUUUAUAUUAAUGCUUAUCCUGCAGCUAGGAGGAAUCAAUUAGCUUCUCUUCUUGAUCCAUCUCAGUUCAUUGAGGCUCCAUGGAUGCUUAUCGGUGAUUGGAACUCAUGUCUUUCUCCAUCAGAGAAACGUGGGGGUCGUCCUCUUACACGUGCUCAACUUCAACCAUUUUGCAAUUUUGUUGCCUUGGCGGGUCUUAUGGAUAUUCCAUUUUCUGGCUAUCGUUGCACUUGGGACAACAGAAGGUUUGGUGCUGCCCGUAUUGAAGAACGUAGUGAUAGAGUUUUAUCUUCUGCUGAGUGAUUGAACAAAUUUCCCCAAGCUAAGCUUACUCACCUUCCUGUCUCUAGCUCGGAUCAUAAAGCUCUACUUUUAUCGACGCAUACUGCAUCGCCUAAGCUUCCUCAUCCUUUUAGAUUUGAGUCUUUCUGGACUCUUGAGCCUUCCUUCUCUGGCUUGGUGGAGAACGCUUGGUAAUCUUAAUCUUAGAUUAUCUAAAUAUAAGCAAGAGCUUACUUCUUUGCAAAGCGUUCCGUUCUCAGAGAGUGAUGUUGCUUGGGGUAUUCAAGAGAAGCAAAUCAUGGCUCAGAUUAAGAAACUCUCUAUCCAAAUUGAAAAGCUGUGGGAGCAAAAAGCCAGACUUCUAUGGAUUCGUGAUGGAGAUGCCAAUACUCGGUUUUUUCACUUAACAACCAUUCAUCGUAGAGCACAAUCUCAGAUUUCCUCUAUCAAUUAGAACGGUUUGAAUCUUACUGCCCGAGAGGAUAUUGCAGAUGCUUUUCAGGCUCACUUCAAGGCACUUUAUACAUCCUCAAAUAUUUCUCCACCAGAUUCAUACUUCUCCCACAUACAGGGUCGUGUGACCUCGGAAGAUAAUCGAAGACUUCUGGCACCAGUUACACAAGAAGAAAUUCAGAGUACUGUUAUGAGAAUGUCAGGUCUUAAAGCUCCAGGGCCGGAUGGUUUUUCAGGAGUUUUCUACCAUAAGAAUGGUUUCAUUAAAGGGAGAAAUAUUCAAGACAAUAUUCUCAUAGGACAUGAGAUUUUGCACAGCAUGAAAAAUAAAAGAGCGCGCAUGGAUUGCAUGGCUGUCAAAUUGGACAUUAGCAAAGCCUAUGAUAGGCUAGAGUGGAACUUCAUUCGAUCCACCCUAUCUAAUUUUGGUUUCGAUCCUCAUUGGAUAAAGCUCAUCAUGUUUUGUGUGGAAUCUACUAGUCUUUCCAUUCUUCUCAACGGGACGCCAUUACCUUUUUUCAACCCUACGAGAGGGAUUCGUCAAGGAGAUCCAUUAUCUUCCUAUCUUUUCAUUUUGUGUGUUGAAGUUCUCUCACAUCAUUUGUCUGUGGCCCUCCUUGAUAAGCGAAUUCAUGGAUUCGCCCUUCUCGACUUGUAGAGCAUAUUUCUCAUUUGGCAUUUGCGGAUGAUAUUAUACUUUUUGGUCAGGCUACAUCUCAUGAAAUCAGGGCUUUCAAUCUAUUUUGGAUGAGUAUUGUCAUUUCUCCGGGCAAGCCUUGAAUCUCAACAAGACGAGGGCUCAUUUUAGUCCUAACGUAUCAUCUGGCCUAAAGAGACUUUUAUUCGAGAGAUUUCACAUUAAUCCGUCUGGGCAUAUUGAUACCUAUCUGGGAGUUCCUUUUUCAGGAGGGAAAUUAUCUAAAGCCAAGUGUUUGGACCUUCUUCAAAGAGUCAAUUCUCGCCUGUCCCACUGGAAAUCCAAGUUUCUCAGCUCGGCAGGGAAGCAAGUUUUGAUACAAUCUACACUUUCAGCUCUUCCACUUCACUUCAUGUCAUGCUUCAAACUCCCUGCAUCAGUUUUAUCUCUUCUUGACUCUUCAAGCCGGAGAUUCUUUUGGUUCAAUGGAGAAAAAAAGCUCAUCCAUACCAUCGCGUGGACCAAGAUUUGCCGGUCUAGGAAAUCAGGGGGGUCUUAACCUUAAGCUUUCAACCCCCAUGAACCAAGCUCUACUUGCAAAAAAAGCUUGGCAACUUCUCAAUCCUUCAUGUUCUCGCUGGGGAGGAUCAUGAAAGCUAAAUACUUCCCACAUUGCAGUUUCAUUGAUGCUAGUUGUAGCUCCACAUCAUCAUGGGGCUGGAAAUCUAUAAUUUAUGGUAGAGAUCUUCUUAUGAAAGGUCUUCACAUCCGGCUCGGACAUGGCAGAUUCAUUAAUCCAUGGAUAGACCCUUGAAUUCCCAAGAUUGCUACCUCUGCGGCCCCAUUUCCCUUACCCUUUAAUGCUCCAAAAACUGUGGCAGAGUUCAUUGGCUUCGAAGAUUUACAUUGGGAUACUGAGAUGGUGAAAUUUUGGUGGCCUCCCCACAUAGCUAAUAUUAUUCUGUGAUUCUGUCCAUUCUUAUUCCUCUUACCAAUGGUGAGGAUUCUUGGAUUUGGUCUGCUACCUCUAGUGGAAUUUUUUCAGUGUCUUCUGCAUACCGUUUGGCCUCAGAUCCGCAAAACUCCAUCACCAAUCCUCUUUGGGAGAAACUUUGGCACAUACCUAUUGCCCCCAAGGCAAAAAUACACACUUGGAAAGUGAUGCUGGAUAGAGCCCCUAUACCUUCAAUUCUUAAUCUUAGGGGUCUCAAUAUCAGUUCCCAAUGCCCAUUCUGCCAAGCUACCAACAUGAGUCAAGACCAUCUUUUCCUCCUUUGUCCUUUCUCUAGCUCCAUAUGGACCAUUGUUGGUUUUGGUUUUAAUCAACAUAAUUUUGCAUCCAUUCAAGAGUGGGUUUCCUCCAUUAUGGAUCCAGAACUUCUAAGAGGCUUAAGGAUUGGUUCUCUGUUCUUAUGAUCAGUGUUAUUUGGAAUAUCUGGCUAGCAUAUUUGGAUCUCAAUUUUAGAAAUAUUACUCACUCGCCUUCAGCAUUGGCUUAUAAAUGCAUCCAAUUCUCUCGAGACUACUGCAGUCCUCCAUCUUUUGAUGCUAGUCCUGCCUUGACAUGGAACAUUAAGUGGGAUCCUCCAACUUAUGGUUUUCUAAAGAUUAAUGUCGAUGGAUCUGCGAUUGGUUGUCCUGGUGGUCUCUUGCGGGAUAAUCAUGGAGGCUUUCUGUUUGGUUUUGCUGGUCCAAUUGGUCUCUCUUAUGCCAAUGUUGCUGAAGCCUUAGCAGUUCGCCAAGCCCUUCAUUUAGCGGCUGCUCGUGGAUUUCAAUACAUCAUUGUGGAGAGCGAUAACCAAUUGGUGAUUAACUUAUUAUCGCAGAAGACUGUUAAUCCCCCUUGAGGAUUAGUCAUAUUAUACAUGAUUGCAUAUCCCUUGCUUCUCGUUUCUCUAACGUCGUCUUUCAACAUUGUUUUAGGCAAGGCAACUUUGUUGCUGAUGCUCUUGCCAAUUUUGGUCGCAAUUCUGCUACUUUGGCUGUAUGGGAGAACAACCCUCCUCCUUUUACCUCGACUUUAUUAUUGAAUGACCGUGUCGGCUCCUCUAGGACACGUCUUGUAAAUUCUAGAGCUACGGCUCCUUUAAUAUAAGUUGUUUUUUUCGGUUCA
This is a long non-coding RNA of Macadamia integrifolia, 3820 nucleotides long. RefSeq lists it as uncharacterized. Lineage: Eukaryota; Viridiplantae; Streptophyta; Magnoliopsida; Proteales; Proteaceae. The record is from RefSeq and is a predicted model, not a curated record. The transcript is spliced from 2 exons.